Molecule: ribosomal RNA, 460 nt
Filed under: uncultured bacterium
Lineage: Bacteria
Description: partial 16S ribosomal RNA
Rfam family: Bacterial small subunit ribosomal RNA
Source: RNAcentral
CCUACGGGAGGCAGCAGUGAGGAAUAUUGGUCAAUGGACGAGAGUCUGAACCAGCCAAGCAGCGUGAAGGAUGACUGCCCUCUGGGUUGUAAACUUCUUUUAUAAAGGAAUAAAACGAGGCACGUGUGCCUCUUUGCAUGUACUUUAUGAAUUAGGAUCGGCUAACUCCGUGCCAGCAGCCGCGGUAAUACGGAGGAUCCGAGCGUUAUCCGGAUUUAUUGGGUUUAAAGGGAGCGUAGUUGGGGUGUUAAGUCAGUUGUGAAAGUUUGCGGCUCAACCGUAAAAUUGCAAUUGAUACUGGCAGUCUUGAGUACAGUUGAGGUAGGCGGAAUUCGUGGUGUAGCGGUGAAAUGCUUAGAUAUCACGAAGAACCCCGAUUGCGAAGGCAGCUUACUAAACUGUGACUGACAUUGAUGCUCGAAAGUGUGGGUAUCAAACAGGAUUAGAUACCCCUGUAGUC